RNAcentral lists this transfer RNA (78 nucleotides) under Pangasianodon hypophthalmus (striped catfish). RNAcentral's name for it is "tRNA-Val". It matches the Rfam family "tRNA". From Rfam's summary of the family: Transfer RNA (tRNA) molecules are approximately 80 nucleotides in length. Their secondary structure includes four short double-helical elements and three loops (D, anti-codon, and T loops). The record is from RNAcentral. Lineage: Eukaryota; Metazoa; Chordata; Actinopteri; Siluriformes; Pangasiidae.
GUUUCUGUAGUGUAGUGUAGUGGUUAUCACAUUCACCUCACACGCAAAAGGUCCCUGGUUUGAAACCAGGCAGAAACA